UCGAGAAUUUUUCUCAAUGGGCGAAAGCCUGAAGGAGCGACGCCGCGUGGGGGAUGAAGGGUUUCGAUCCGUAAACCCCUGUCAUUUGCGAACAAUGGUUGUUUAUGAAUAAUAGGCAGCUUGAUAGUAGCGGAAGAGGAAGGGACGGCUAACUCUGUGCCAGCAGCCGCGGUAAUACAGAGGUCCCAAGCGUUGUUCGGAUUCACUGGGCGUAAAGGGUGCGUAGGUGGCUGGGCAAGUUUGAUGUGAAAUCUCCGGGCUUAACCCGGAAAAUGCAUUGAAUACUGCUUAGCUGGAGGUUUGGAGGGGGGACUGGAAUUCUCGGUGUAGCAGUGAAAUGCGUAGAUAUCGAGAGGAACACCAGUGGCGAAGGCGGGUCCCUGGACAACACCUGACACUGAGGCACGAAAGCUAGGGGAGCAAACAGGAUUAGAUACCCGUGUAGUCC
Molecule: ribosomal RNA, 448 nt
Filed under: uncultured bacterium
Lineage: Bacteria
Description: bacterial SSU rRNA
Rfam family: Bacterial small subunit ribosomal RNA
Source: RNAcentral